UGUGUGCACACAUAGCUUGUUUUAAUUGCAACACAGUGCAUCUGCUGUGUAGUUAAAGUAGGAACCUGUACUAGUUUGCAAGGUUUUCAUCAAAGAAGCACCUUUAAAACUGCUAAUCAACCAUAGAAUUGAGUUGGAAGGGACCUCUAAAGGUCAUCUGGUCAAACACCUCUGCAAUAAAGAGAGACACCUACAGACCCACCAGGGGCUUAGAGUCCUCCAGCCUGUCCUUGAGUGUCCCCAGGGAUGAGGCAUCCACCACCUCUUGAGCAAGAAAGAUAGAUGAUAUCCUUCUGAGCCUUCUCCUCAUCAAACAAAUCCAGCUCUCUCUUACAUCAUAUACUUCAGCCCUUGACUACUUUAGCAGCCUUCCAUUGGACUCUUGUGCUAAGUCAUCCCAUACUCAUUGUCAGUAUUUGAAAUGCAGACUCAGACAUGCCAGCAAAAGGGAAAGAUCAGCUCCCUCGCCCUGCUGGGUCUCCAGCCAGCUGUGGUCUCAGCAAGGUAAGAGCACUGCAGAGCAACCUUAGGCCUACAUUAACAGUUUGUUUUGGCUUGACACUAAUAAAGGAAACCAAGAUUUUUCUGUAA
Long non-coding RNA from Tympanuchus pallidicinctus (lesser prairie-chicken), 591 nucleotides. RefSeq lists it as uncharacterized. The transcript is spliced from 2 exons. The record is from RefSeq and is a predicted model, not a curated record. NCBI's taxonomy places the organism in Eukaryota, Metazoa, Chordata, Aves, Galliformes, Phasianidae.